AAGUAUCUCAAUAUCCAAGGAUUGAAUUUUUUUUAGGUUUUUAAUUUUUAAUUUAAAUUAUAUAUAAUGGAUGAAGAAGGCGACAGUAUUUUGAUGGAAGAAAAUUAUUACCAGUUGCUGAAUGUCUCCAAAACGGCAUCUCCUGAGGAGAUCAACAGUGCGUAUCGGCGGUUCAGUCGCAUGUUCCACCCUGACAAGCACAGCACAGACCCGAACAAGCAGAAAUGGGCCGAGCAGAUCUUCAACAAGGUCAAGGAGGCAUACGAAGUGCUAUCCGAUAACCACAAAAGAGCUAUUUAUGAUACAUUAGGUAAAAGAGGUUUGGAAGUAGAUGGCUGGGAAGUUAUAUUUCGAACGCGAACUCCUAGAGAAAUUAGAGAGGAAUAUGAAAGGUUAAAGCGCGAGCGAGAGGAGCGGCGGUUGCAGCAGAGCGCCAACCCUCGCGGCACCAUCACCCUCUCCGUCAACGCCACAGACAUGUUCAUGAAAUAUUACGAUGAAUAUGAAAUCAUAGAAGAAUCAAAUAUCCUACCUAAUAUAGAGGUAUCAGGCAUGACCAUUCAGCAAUCCAUAGACGCGCCAAUAACAUUGAGGGACACCAUGACUCUCUCAGGAAAUAUAUCAACGCAAAACGGAAUCGGCACCGGCUCCGUGAACCUAUGCAACCGGCACCUCAGCUCCGAGAAGGGUUGGACGGAGUUCGAGUUCGGCAUAGGCAACGGCCCACUGCUGGGCUUCAAGAUGUUCCGGACGCUCUCCCGCCUCAUGUUCCUCAACUGCGGCACUGUCAUGCAGUUCACACCGAGGGGGAUCGUGCCUAGUCUUGUCUCAACAAUGGCGCUCCAACUGGACGCGCACUCCGUCGGCUACCUGACGUACCGCGCCGGCGGGCAGGGCGGGUCGUCCAUGACGUCUAUAUACGUCCGCGACUCCGAGAAGUACCACACCAACACGGCCAUCCAGCUCGGCAACCCGCACUCCUUCAUAUCCUUCAAUAUUAUGAGGAAGAUGCCGCAGCAUGAUAUGAAACUGCGCUUGGCGUUGAAACUGGGUACCUUCGGCGCCAUAGCGGAGUACGGGGCCGAGAAGAAGGUGUCGAAGAACAGCAGCGUGUCGGCCGCCGUGAUGCUCGGCGUCCCCAGCGGCGUCAUACUCAAGCUCAAAUGGACAUGUUCAACACAAACGAUAGUGGUCCCCAUCCACUUGUGCGAAGAGGUGAUGCCGUCACCGGUGUUCUACGCCACAGUGGUUCCCAUGGUCUCGUGGCUCAUCCUCAAGAAACUGGUGCUGGACCCCAUCGCGCGGGAGCGGUCGGAGAGAGAGCGACAGCGGUCUAUGGAGGCCAACUUUGAAAGGUUACAAGAAAUGCAGCGGCAAGCGCGAGCAACAGUAGAGCUGAUGCGAGAAACCUACUCCAGGAUACGGAGCGACGAGGAGAAGAAAAAGGGCCUCGUCAUCCUUCGGGCGUUGUAUGGGAAGCUACCUGCGGGAGCGUCAAGUCACGAGGUUGAAGCGGAGCCGACGGGCGACGCGGCUUCGCCCGAGUCUCCGACCGCGUACAGCGAAGUCAUCGACGUGACGAUACCCGUGCAGUGCCUCGUCAAGGACUCGCGGCUAGAGCUGCUAGAGGCCAGCAAGGCGGACCUGGCCGGCUUCUUCGACCCGUGCGUGGGCGAGGAGAAGCACCUCACCAUACAAUACACCUUCCACAAGAACCUGCACUGCUGCACCGUCGCCGACACUCAGCCCGUAGUUCUGCCGCGCAACAAUCAUCGGAUAAAGAACAGAUCCUGAAGGUGAUAGCCGAGAACCAGGCGCUAACUAUAACGCCGAGCGAGCGUCGGCGUGCAUCCUAUCAUAAUAUAUUGACGCAUUGGCUUGGAGACACGGGUUGUAUGCCCAUCCGGUCACGAGGAUGGGUUUAAGAAGCUCGUGUACUAUUUAUGCACGU
This 1951-nucleotide unclassified non-coding RNA is filed under the name Leguminivora glycinivorella. RNAcentral's name for it is "dnaJ homolog subfamily C member 11, transcript variant X1". The record is from RNAcentral. Lineage: Eukaryota; Metazoa; Arthropoda; Insecta; Lepidoptera; Tortricidae.